This 254-nucleotide ribosomal RNA is filed under the name uncultured bacterium. Its description in RNAcentral is "partial 16S ribosomal RNA". It matches the Rfam family "Bacterial small subunit ribosomal RNA", at positions 524 to 776 of the family's 1533-position model. The record is from RNAcentral.
UACAGAGGUCUCAAGCGUUGUUCGGAUUCAUUGGGCGUAAAGGGUGUGUAGGUGGCGCCGUUAGUCGGGUGUGAAAUUUCGGAGCUUAACUCCGAAACUGCAUUCGAUACUGCGGUGCUUGAGGACUGGAGAGGAGACUGGAAUUCAUGGUGUAGCAGUGAAAUGCGUUGAUAUCGUUCGGAACACCGAAAGCGAAGGCAGAGGACUGGGUGCCACCUGACACUACUAGGACGAAAGCGUGGGGAGCGAAUGGG